AAAGUGGUCUAGGUUUAACUUAAAUUAAAUAUUACACAUGAUUGAAAAUUUACCAUUUUAACCUUGUAAAACGAAACCCACAUUUUAUGUUCCAGAUAACAAAAUAAAAUCCUACCCCAAAGUUCAUAAUAAUCAUUUUUAAACCCACACGAUUAAACAUUCUAAAACCAUGGUAACCGUUUCAAAUUGUGCUUUAUGAAUGGGAGUUUUGAAGACAAUUAAGCAGGUUCCUACUACUUUAGAUGUUGUAAUUACAGAAAGGCCCCUUAGAUGUUGCUCAAAUUUGGACAAUUAGUGAUGGACCUUGUAGCUCAAAUUUACAAAAAGGCCCCUUAGAUGUUGCUGUUUUGAAACACUAUACAAAUGAUAAGAGCAAAGAUGUAACAACACUUGACUGGAAUGGUGAUGGAACUCUACUUGCAACAGGUUCUUAUGAUGGGCAAACCAGAAUAUGGAGUAAAGAUGGCAAAUUAAGCAACUUUUUUGCAUUUUCAAUAUGGGUUUUUUAAAAUAAAAUUAAGUUAGGUUUAUUUAUUAUUUUAGGAGAGCUGAUGAGUACAUUAACAAAACAUAAGGGGCCAAUAUUCUCUUUAAAAUGGAACAAGAAAGGAGCCUAUCUUUUAAGUGGCAGUGUAGACCAAACAGCAAUUGUAUGGGACAUUAAGACUGGAGAAUGGAAACAACAAUUUGAGUUUCACACAGCUCCUACUGAUGUUAAUUUAUGUCUAUAAAGUUGGAGAUAAUCGACCAGUAAAAACUUUUGUGGGCCAUCAGGUUUAA
Lactuca sativa (garden lettuce) is the source of this 780-nucleotide non-coding RNA. The record is from RefSeq and is a predicted model, not a curated record. NCBI's taxonomy places the organism in Eukaryota, Viridiplantae, Streptophyta, Magnoliopsida, Asterales, Asteraceae.